CUCAUUCUCUUCUUCAGACCUGCAUUUUUGCUCAGUGCAGUGCGUAGGGCAGCGACGACGGCAUGGAAACGCACAGACAGGAAACAGGAAUGCCCCUGUGUGCACAAACACAUUAAGAAACGAGAGUGUGUGGGGGAGGAGCCUCGAGGUCGAUGCAGCCUCAGCGCCCCCACGCUGCGCAGUCUGCAGAUCUGUGUGCCCGAUCAGAUGUGAGGCUCAGCGUGAGCAGGGCCUGGAUCCUUGGUGUCUGUGCCUGACAUGUGGGGCUCUCUGCAGUCGCUCAUUAAUGUAAAUAAAUAACGGCAUGGA
This 309-nucleotide long non-coding RNA is filed under the name Rattus norvegicus (Norway rat). RNAcentral's name for it is "long non-coding RNA NONRATT003924". The record is from RNAcentral. Lineage: Eukaryota; Metazoa; Chordata; Mammalia; Rodentia; Muridae.